AAGAACCAAAAUUUAUUUCUUAUAGUUCUGGAGGCUGGGAAGUCCCAAAUCAAGGUGCUAGCAGAUUCAAUUUCUGGUGAACACUCCUUCUUGUAGAUGGUGCUUUCUUGCUGUGCCCUCUCAGCACAGCAAGGGGGAAGGGGAAAAACAGGCUUCCUCAGGCCUCUUUUACAUCAUGGAGUGACCUCAUGAUAUGAUUAAUCAUUUUCUAAAAGUCCCCACCCCUUUAUACCACCACAUUGGGGAUUAGGUUUCUAAAUAUGAAUUUUUGGGGGACAUAGACAUUUAGGCAAUUUUCCAUUCCUAUGAUUCUCUGAAUCAAAGUAGGACCUCAAUGAACUGUGGACCACAAUAAUCUGUUGUUUUCAGAUGAGCACUGUCCAGAUAAUAUCUGAAGUACCUGUUGCUCUGGAGCCUUAGGACGCUUUUGAAAAGCUACUUUUUCCCUCCUGUACCACUAUAUGUUCAUUUUAUGUCAUGUACCCUGAAGUGCCUAAUGCUAUUCCCUGCUAAUGGUGUAGAUGAUAAACAUUUGGAAGAGUGGACAGAUGGAUGAAAAGCACUGAAGUAUUUGUUUUCCUUUCCUUACAUAGAUUUGCCUUUGGCAUGUGACACAGCACCAGUAGGGGGAGCCCUGUAUCAAUUUGGAAAUCUGUAAGACUAGUUCUGUUCAGUAGGCUAAUUGUAUUUAAGAAUUUUGCUAAGAAUACAUUCCGGCACCCUGAUUUCAGGAUUUAAGUGAACAACGUUAGCACACUUACAAAUGAUGAGAAGAAGCGUAUGGACCUCAUCACUGAUUUCUCACCAAGGGCUUUUCUACAUGUAGAUGUUCCAAGUUAGUAUCUAGUUUUUUUCAUCCAUUUUGAAAGCAGCUAUCAUUCUUCCUAAAAAAUGUCAAAUUAUUGGAUACAUUUAGCCCUUCAAGUCUGUUAGUAACGGGCUGCUUCAGGCAUAAUUACAACAUGAUGGAUUUCCCAACUGUAUGAUAAUUGUUCUUUCCAUAGUUUUCUUCUUUGAAAAAAUAAAAGAGUAGCUUUUCACCAAGAUGGCGCCGAAAGUGAAGAAGGAAGCUCCUGCCCCUCCCAAAGCUGAAGCCAAAGCAAAGGCUUUGAAAGCCAAGAAGGCAGAGCUGAAAGGUGUCCACAGCCACAAAAAGAAGAUACGCAUGUCACCCACCUUCAGGCGGCCCAACACACUGAGGCUCUGGAGGCAGCCCAAAUACCCUAGGAAGAGUGCCACCAGGAGAAACAAGCUUGACCACUAUGCCAUCAUCAAGUUCCCCCUGACCACCGAGUCAGCCAUGAAGAAGAUAGAAGACAACAACACACUUGUGUUCAUUGUGGAUGUCAAGGCCAGCAAGCACCAGAUCAAGCAGGCUAUGAAGAAGCUCUAUGAUACUGAUGUGGCUAAGGUCAAUACACUGAUCAGGCCUGAUGGAGAGAGGAAGUCUUAUAUUCGACUAGCUCCUGAUUAUGAUGCUUUGGAUGUUGUCAACAAAAUUGGAAUCAUCUAAACGGAGUCCAGCUGGCUAAUUCUAAAUACACAUUUUUUUUCACCAUAAAAAAAAAAAAAGAAUAGUUGUAGGUAGAUGGGUUUUAAAGUUCUUCCCAGCUCAAAGUGAAGCUAGUUUAUAUGGGGAAAAUAUGUCUUAGGUAUGGCAGAAAUGUAAAAUCUGAGAAUAUUAAGGAUCUUUUGAGAAGUCAACUUAUUUUAGAAAAAUUUACGUAGUGGAAGCACUUAGCGUAUUGCAGUACACUAAACUUAGAAAAGCUGUAUAUGAUGUGUGUUCUUUUUCUAAAUUUUUGUUUUGAGUUUACAAAUUAUGGCUUUAGCAUCAUCAUUAUUAGUU
Castor canadensis (American beaver) is the source of this 1849-nucleotide non-coding RNA. NCBI's taxonomy places the organism in Eukaryota, Metazoa, Chordata, Mammalia, Rodentia, Castoridae. The record is from RefSeq and is a predicted model, not a curated record.